Molecule: ribosomal RNA, 775 nt
Filed under: uncultured Neocallimastigales
Lineage: Eukaryota; Fungi; Neocallimastigomycota; Neocallimastigomycetes; Neocallimastigales
Description: partial large subunit ribosomal RNA
Rfam family: Eukaryotic large subunit ribosomal RNA
Source: RNAcentral
UAUGUGAUCGUCUCUCGCAUAUCAAUAAGCGGAGGAAAAGAAACUAACAAGGAUUCCCCUAGUAACGGCGAGUGAAGCGGGAAGAGCUCAAAUUUGAAAUCUUAAAGGGUUUCCCUUUACGAAUUGUAGUUUAAAGAAGUGUUUUCUGUCGAGGUUUUGGUAAAAGUUCUUUGGAAUAGGACAUCAUAGAGGGUGAGAAUCCCGUAUUUGACCUUUACUUUCAACUUUGUGAUACACUUUCAAAGAGUCGGAUUGUUUGGGAAUGCAGUCCAAAAUGGGUGGUAAAUUUCAUCUAAAGCUAAAUAUUGGCGAGAGACCGAUAGCGAACAAGUACCGUGAGGGAAAGAUGAAAAGAACUUUGAAAAGAGAGUUAAACAGUACGUGAAAUUGUCAAAAGGGAAGCGUUUGACACCAGUGUUGUUUUUCUGAAAAUCAAUUAAAGAACUGUUUAUGCUAAGCUGUUUAGACUUUAUCAGCUAAUCUGUUUAGUUUUGAGCUUUUCUUUAAUGCACUUUUCAGUUAACAAGUCAACAUCAAUUUCUUUUGCUGUAAAAAAGCUUGAGGAAGGUGGCUUGAGAUUCGUCUUAAGUGUUUAUAGCCUCUUGCCUAUGCAGUCGGAGAGAUUGAGGUCUGCAGCGUAGAUCCUUCGGGGCUAAAUGCAUUUGUGCUAAGUUAUAGCAUUUUAUAGACAACUUGUUGACUAUGAUUUGUCUUGUAGCUUACUCGCUUAUGUUAUUUUACCUACGCUUAGGAUGUUGAUCUCUCACAGUCGAGC